UGAUGCUGUUGCUGUGCCUGGGGGUCCCGACCGGCCGCCCCUACAACGUGGACACUGAGAGCGCGCUGCUUUACCAGGGCCCCCCCAACACGCUGUUCGGCUACUCGGUCGUGCUGCACAGCCACGGGGCGAACCGAUGGCUCCUAGUGGGUGCGCCCACUGCCAACUGGCUCGCCAACGCUUCAGUGAUCAAUCCCGGGGCGAUUUACAGAUGCAGGAUCGGAAAGAAUCCCGGCCAGACGUGCGAACAGCUCCAGCUGGGUAGCCCUAAUGGAGAACCUUGUGGAAAGACUUGCUUGGAAGAGAGAGACAAUCAGUGGUUGGGGGUCACACUUUCCAGACAGCCAGGAGAAAAUGGAUCCAUCGUGGUAGGUAUUGGAACUGGUCCACUGAUCCAUCGUGAAAUCAGCUAUCCUGGGUGCAGCUUUCACAUCAUUUGGUCUACUUUUAUCUUAUUCAGACUUGUGGGCAUAGAUGGAAAAAUAUAUUUUACAUAAAGAAUGAAAAUAAGCUCCCCACUGGUGGUUGCUAUGGAAUGCCCCCUGAUUUACGAACAGAACUGAGUAAAAGAAUAGCUCCGUGUUAUCAAGGU
This 592-nucleotide small RNA is filed under the name Pan troglodytes (chimpanzee). RNAcentral's name for it is "retained intron". Lineage: Eukaryota; Metazoa; Chordata; Mammalia; Primates; Hominidae. The record is from RNAcentral.